UACCAGCACCCCGAGUGGUCGGGACGUUCAUUGGGCCUAAAGCAUCCGUAGCCGGUUCUACAAGUCUUCCGUUAAAUCCACCUGCUUAACAGAUGGGCUGCGGAAGAUACUAUAGAGCUAGGAGGCGGGGGAGGCAAGCGGUACUCGAUGGGUAGGGGUAAAAUCCGUUGAUCCAUUGAAGACCACCAGUGGCGAAGGCGGCUUGCCAGAACGCGCUCGACGGUGAGGGAUGAAAGCUGGGGGAGCAAACCGG
This 253-nucleotide ribosomal RNA is filed under the name uncultured bacterium. RNAcentral's name for it is "partial 16S ribosomal RNA". It matches the Rfam family "Archaeal small subunit ribosomal RNA", at positions 474 to 727 of the family's 1478-position model. The record is from RNAcentral.